CCUACGGGAGGCAGCAGUGGGGAAUUUUGCGCAAUGGGCGAAAGCCUGACGCAGCAACGCCGCGUGAGCGAAGAAGGCCUUCGGGUUGUAAAGCUCUGUCAGGGGGAAAGAAGGCACCUGGGUUAAUAGCCCAAGGGCUGACGGUACCCCCAAAGGAAGCCACGGCUAACUACGUGCCAGCAGCCGCGGUAAUACGUAGGUGGCGAGCGUUGUCCGGAAUCAUUGGGCGUAAAGAGCGCGUAGGUGGCUUGUCAGGUCUGAUGUGAAAUCCUGGGGCUCA
This 280-nucleotide ribosomal RNA is filed under the name uncultured bacterium. RNAcentral's name for it is "partial 16S ribosomal RNA". It matches the Rfam family "Bacterial small subunit ribosomal RNA", at positions 338 to 611 of the family's 1533-position model. The record is from RNAcentral.